This is a small nucleolar RNA of Cucurbita moschata (crookneck pumpkin), 80 nucleotides long. RefSeq annotates it as small nucleolar RNA Z199. The record is from RefSeq and is a predicted model, not a curated record. Lineage: Eukaryota; Viridiplantae; Streptophyta; Magnoliopsida; Cucurbitales; Cucurbitaceae. The transcript has a single exon.
AUGCAGGGGAUGAGAAAAAAACUGCAACAAGAUGAUCGGAAACUUCCGUGAUUACCUUCAUAUUUAAGUCUCUGAUGCGU